CCCUCGAUAGCUCAGUUGGCAGAGCGGAGGACUGUAGAUGUUACAACGGUGAUCCAUCCUUAGGUCGCUGGUUCAAAUCCGGCUCGAGGGA
RNAcentral lists this transfer RNA (91 nucleotides) under Cordylochernes scorpioides. RNAcentral's name for it is "tRNA-Tyr". It matches the Rfam family "tRNA". Rfam says of the family: Transfer RNA (tRNA) molecules are approximately 80 nucleotides in length. Their secondary structure includes four short double-helical elements and three loops (D, anti-codon, and T loops). Further hydrogen bonds mediate the characteristic L-shaped molecular structure. tRNAs have two regions of fundamental functional importance: the anti-codon, which is responsible for specific mRNA codon recognition, and the 3' end, to which the tRNAs corresponding amino acid is attached (by aminoacyl-tRNA synthetases). tRNAs cope with the degeneracy of the genetic code in two manners: having more than one tRNA (with a specific anti-codon) for a particular amino acid; and 'wobble' base-pairing, i.e. permitting non-standard base-pairing at the 3rd anti-codon position. The record is from RNAcentral. Lineage: Eukaryota; Metazoa; Arthropoda; Arachnida; Pseudoscorpiones; Chernetidae.